ACUACGGGUGGCAGCAGUGAGGAAUAUUGGUCAAUGGUCGGGAGACUGUACCAGCCAAGCCGCGUGAGGGAGGAAGGUACAGAGUAUCGUAAACCUCUUUUGUCAGGGAACAAAGGCGGGGACGUGUCCCCGGAUGAGUGUACCUGAAGAAAAAGCAUCGGCUAACUCCGUGCCAGCAGCCGCGGUAAUACGGAGGAUGCGAGCGUUAUCCGGAGUUAUUGGGUUUAAAGGGAGCGCAGGCGGUCUGUUAAGUCAGCGGUCAAAGCCCGGGGCUCAACCCCGGACCGCCGUUGAAACUGGCAGUCGCGAGUUGGAGAGAGGUAUGCGGAAUGCGCGGUGUAGUGGUGAAAUGCAUAGAUAUCGCGCAGAACUCCGAUUGCGAAGGCAGCAUGCCGGCUCCACACUGACGCUGAGGCACGAAAGCGUGGGUAUCGAACAGGAUUAGAUACCCCAGUAGUC
RNAcentral lists this ribosomal RNA (459 nucleotides) under uncultured bacterium. RNAcentral's name for it is "partial 16S ribosomal RNA". It matches the Rfam family "Bacterial small subunit ribosomal RNA", at positions 338 to 795 of the family's 1533-position model. The record is from RNAcentral.